AUUGAACGCUGGCGGCAGGCCUAACACAUGCAAGUCGAACGGUAACAGGAAGCAGCUUGCUGCUUCGCUGACGAGUGGCGGACGGGUGAGUAAUGUCUGGGAAGCUGCCUGAUGGAGGGGGAUAACUACUGGAAACGGUAGCUAAUACCGCAUAAUGUCGCAAGACCAAAGAGGGGGACCUUCGGGCCUCUUGCCAUCGGAUGUGCCCAGAUGGGACUAGCUUGUUGGUGGGGUAACGGCUCACCAAGGCGACGAUCCCUAGCUGGUCUGAGAGGAUGACCAGCCACACUGGAACUGAGACACGGUCCAGACUCCUACGGGAGGCAGCAGUGGGGAAUAUUGCACAAUGGGCGCAAGCCUGAUGCAGCCAUGCCGCGUGUAUGAAGAAGGCCUUCGGGUUGUAAAGUACUUUCAGCGGGGAGGAAGGGAGUAAAGUUAAUACCUUUGCUCAUUGACGUUACCCGCAGAAGAAGCACCGGCUAACUCCGUG
RNAcentral lists this ribosomal RNA (490 nucleotides) under uncultured bacterium. RNAcentral describes it as "partial 16S ribosomal RNA". It matches the Rfam family "Bacterial small subunit ribosomal RNA", at positions 30 to 507 of the family's 1533-position model. The record is from RNAcentral.